AUUGAACGCUGGCGGCAUGCCUUACACAUACAAGUCGAACGGCAGCAUGAUCUAGCUUGCUAGAUUGAUUGCGAGUGGCGAACGGGUGAGUAAUACAUCUGAACGUGCCCUGUAGUGGGGGAUAACUAGUCGAAAGAUUAGCUAAUACCGCAUACGACCUGAGGGUGAAAGUGGGGGACCGCAAGGCCUCAUGCUAUAGGAUCGGCCGAUGUCUGAUUAGCUAGUUGGUGAGGUAAAGGCUCACCAAGGCGACGAUCAGUAGCUGGUCUGAGAGGACGAUCAGCCACACUGGGACUGAGACACGGCCCAGACUCCUACGGGAGGCAGCAGUGGGGAAUUUUGGACAAUGGGCGAAAGCCUGAUCCAGCAAUGCCGCGUGAGUGAAGAAGGCCUUCGGGUUGUAAAGCACUGUUGUCAGGAAAGAAAUGGCUCGGGUUAAUACCUGGGGUUGAUGACGGUACCGGAAGAAUAAGGACCGGCUAACUACGUG
Molecule: ribosomal RNA, 490 nt
Filed under: uncultured bacterium
Lineage: Bacteria
Description: partial 16S ribosomal RNA
Rfam family: Bacterial small subunit ribosomal RNA
Source: RNAcentral